Molecule: ribosomal RNA, 471 nt
Filed under: uncultured bacterium
Lineage: Bacteria
Description: bacterial SSU rRNA
Rfam family: Bacterial small subunit ribosomal RNA
Source: RNAcentral
ACUCCUACGGGAGGCAGCAGUGGGGAAUAUUGCACAAUGGGCGCAAGCCUGAUGCAGCCAUGCCGCGUGUGUGAAGAAGGCCUUCGGGUUGUAAAGCACUUUCAGUUGUGAGGAAGGUGGUGUCGUUAAUAGCGGCAUCAUUUGACGUUAGCAACAGAAGAAGCACCGGCUAACUCCGUGCCAGCAGCCGCGGUAAUACGGAGGGUGCGAGCGUUAAUCGGAAUUACUGGGCGUAAAGCGCAUGCAGGUGGUUUGUUAAGUCAGAUGUGAAAGCCCGGGGCUCAACCUCGGAACUGCAUUUGAAACUGGCAGACUAGAGUACUGUAGAGGGGGUAGAAUUUCAGGUGUAGCGGUGAAAUGCGUAGAGAUCUGAAGGAAUACCGGUGGCGAAGGCGGCCCCCUGGACAGAUACUGACACUCAGAUGCGAAAGCUGGGGAGCAAACAGGAUUAGAUACCCUGGUAGCACAGAG